UACGUAGGCAGCGAGCGUUGUUCGGAGUUACUGGGCGUAAAGGGUGUGUAGGCGGUUGCUUAAGUUUGGUGUGAAAUCUCCCGGCUUAACUGGGAGGGUGCGCCGAAAACUGGAAGGCUUGAGUAUGGGAGAGGUAAGCGGAAUUCCUGGUGUAGCGGUGAAAUGCGUAGAUAUCAGGAGGAACACCUGCGGUGUAGACGGCUUACUGGACCAUAACUGACGCUGAGGCACGAAAGCGUGGGUAGCAAACAGG
This 253-nucleotide ribosomal RNA is filed under the name uncultured bacterium. RNAcentral's name for it is "partial 16S ribosomal RNA". It matches the Rfam family "Bacterial small subunit ribosomal RNA", at positions 524 to 776 of the family's 1533-position model. The record is from RNAcentral.